AGAGUUUGAUCAUGGCUCAGGAUCAACGCUGGCGGCGUGCCUAACGCAUGUAAGUCGCACGGGUCGCUUUCGGGCGACCAGUGGCGAACGGCUGAGGAACACGUACGAACCGGCCCGCUUGUGGGGAAUAACGCACCGAAAGGUGUGCUAAUACCGCGUACGCUCGGCGCCGUAAGGGCGCCGAGGAAAGCCGCAAGGCGCAGGCGGAGGGGCGUGCGGCCCAUCAGGUGGUUGGUGGGGUAAUGGCCUACCAAGCCGGUGACGGGUAGCUGGUCUGUGAGGACGAUCAGCCAGACUGGGACUGCGACACGGCCCAGACACCUACGGGUGGCAGCAGCGAGGAAUCUUCCACAAUGGGCGCAAGCCCGAUGGAGCAACGCCGCGUGGAGGACGACGGCCUUCGGGUUGUAAACUCCUUUCGGGGGGGAUGAUACGAACAGUACCCUCAGAAGCAGCCCCGGCUAACUCUGUGCCAGCAGCCGCGGUAAUACAGAGGGGGCAAGCGUUGUCCGGAAUUACUGGGCGUACAGCGCGCGCAGGCGGGUGGUGACGUGCCGUGUGACAGGCGCCGGCUUAACCGGCGUAGGCCAUGGUAGACGCACCGUCUGGAGGCAGGGAGAGGGAUGUGGAAUGCCCGGUGGAGCGGUGAAAUGCGUAGAGAUCGGGCGGAACACCAGCGGCGAAGGCGGCAUCCUGGCCCUGACCUGACGCUGAGGCGCGAGAGCGUGGGGAGCAAACCGGAUUAGAUACCCCCGUAGUCC
RNAcentral lists this ribosomal RNA (761 nucleotides) under uncultured Chloroflexota bacterium. RNAcentral's name for it is "bacterial SSU rRNA". It matches the Rfam family "Bacterial small subunit ribosomal RNA", at positions 8 to 796 of the family's 1533-position model. The record is from RNAcentral. Lineage: Bacteria; Bacillati; Chloroflexota.